CCUGGACGAGACUUGCACCUCUACGUGGUGUUCAGGACUAGUAGCAUUUACUGCGAAGCCAAGCAAGU
Molecule: non-coding RNA, 68 nt
Filed under: Talaromyces marneffei ATCC 18224
Lineage: Eukaryota; Fungi; Ascomycota; Eurotiomycetes; Eurotiales; Trichocomaceae
Source: RNAcentral